RNAcentral lists this non-coding RNA (29 nucleotides) under Mus musculus (house mouse). The record is from RNAcentral. Lineage: Eukaryota; Metazoa; Chordata; Mammalia; Rodentia; Muridae.
CAGAAUUGAACUGUAUUGGGAAAAUGUGU